Molecule: ribosomal RNA, 468 nt
Filed under: uncultured bacterium
Lineage: Bacteria
Description: partial 16S ribosomal RNA
Rfam family: Bacterial small subunit ribosomal RNA
Source: RNAcentral
GACGAACGCUGGCGGCGUGCUUAACACAUGCAAGUCGAACGGAAAGGCCCUGCUUUUGUGGGGUGCUCGAGUGGCGAACGGGUGAGUAACACGUGAGUAACCUGCCCUUGACUUUGGGAUAACUUCAGGCAACUGGGGCUAAUACCGGAUAGGAGCUCCUGCUGCAUGGUGGGGGUUGGAAAGUUUCGGCGGUUGGGGAUGGACUCGCGGCUUAUCAGCUUGUUGGUGGGGUAGUGGCUUACCAAGGCUUUGACGGGUAGCCGGCCUGAGAGGGUGACCGGCCACAUUGGGACUGAGGUACGGCCCAGACGCCUACGGGAGGCAGCAGUGGGGAAUAUUGCACAAUGGGCGGAAGCCUGAUGCAGCAACGCCGCGUGCGGGAUGACGGCCUUCGGGUUGUAAACCGCUGUCGCCUGUGACGAAGCGUGAGUGACGGUAAUGGGUAAAGAAGCACCGGCUAACUACGUG